Molecule: unclassified non-coding RNA, 209 nt
Filed under: plant metagenome
Description: partial contains small subunit ribosomal RNA, internal transcribed spacer 1, and 5.8S ribosomal RNA
Source: RNAcentral
GCUCCGUUGGUGAACCAGCGGAGGGAUCAUUACUGGAAUCGCAAGAUCCCACAACCCUGUGAACCUACCGAAACGUUGCCUCGGCGGGUGCCCGGCCUCUGCGCCGGGCGCUGCGCCCGCCGGCGGCCCCCUACUCUGUCUCUGCAGCGUGGCAUCUCAGAGUCCCAGAAAACAAGUCAAAACUUUCAACAACGGAUCUCUUGGCUCUA